Molecule: transfer RNA, 72 nt
Filed under: Camelus bactrianus (Bactrian camel)
Lineage: Eukaryota; Metazoa; Chordata; Mammalia; Artiodactyla; Camelidae
Also listed under: 2 other names
Rfam family: tRNA
About the family: Transfer RNA (tRNA) molecules are approximately 80 nucleotides in length.
Source: Rfam by way of RNAcentral
GAGGAUAUAGCUCAGUGGUAGAGUACAUGCUUAGCACGCACGAGGUCCUGGGUUCCAUCCCCAGUACCUCCA